UUCCUACGGGAGGCAGCAGUGGGGGAUAUUGCACAAUGGGGGAAACCCUGAUGCAGCGACGCCGCGUGAGCGAUGAAGUAUUUCGGUAUGUAAACUGCUUUAGACAGGGAAGAUAAUGACAGUACCUGUAGAAUAAGCUCCGGCUAACUACGUGCCAGCAGCCGCGGUAAUACGUAGGGAGCAAGCGUUAUCCGGAUUUAUUGGGUGUAAAGGGUGCGUAGACGGGAAUGCAAGUUAGUUGUGAAAUCCCUCGGCUUAACUGAGGAACUGCAACUAAAACUACAUUUCUUGAGUGCUGGAGAGGA
Molecule: ribosomal RNA, 305 nt
Filed under: uncultured bacterium
Lineage: Bacteria
Description: bacterial SSU rRNA
Rfam family: Bacterial small subunit ribosomal RNA
Source: RNAcentral